RNAcentral lists this long non-coding RNA (1277 nucleotides) under Monodelphis domestica (gray short-tailed opossum). RNAcentral describes it as "lncRNA (ENSMODG00000037428.1)". Lineage: Eukaryota; Metazoa; Chordata; Mammalia; Didelphimorphia; Didelphidae. The record is from RNAcentral.
CACAUAUCUUCCUGCUUCCCUACUAGUGCCAAAAUCACUGCCUUUGUAUCAUUUGUAUGUUGGGAAUUUUGAAAGAUGGAGGGAAAGGUAGAUUGUGGAGAUAUAAAGUAUGAUGGAAGAUACAUUUGACAGGUUGAACAACGUAAUGAAGGAUUUGAAGAGACAGGAGAGUAGGGAGGGACCUGAUGUGAUGAUUAUGGAAUAAACACCAUUUCUGAUAAAAAUUACUGAUGAUAAAAGUACUUGCAUUUUGUGACUUUAUUUUAUACGUAUACUAUUUAUGUGAACACACACACACACACAUAUAUAUAUAUAUAUAUUUUAAUCAAGACACGAUUAGAAAAUUAGCACCUUUUAUUAAAAACUUAGGUUUUCUUUAAAUACCAGUUGUCAAUUGCUCUGGAUGUAAUGGGCUCUGAAUGUGGUUAUUAGGGUACAAGCAUCCUCUAAUCUGGAUUUUAUACUUAUGAGGUGUGUUAGUGGACUAAUGAGGUUAAUUUUGUGGCUGUGGCUUAUAGAAUCAGCCUCAGUCUUUUAUAAGUUUGCAAUAAAGUUUUUAUCUUUGCAAUCAAAAACACAUUCAGAGCUGGAAACAUCAUCUAAUGGGAAAAAAAAUGGUGGGAUUUUACCCAGAAAAACAGAAUAAUAUUUGAUUGGUUUUGAAAUAGUGGGAGAGACAGCGGGGUUGCUUGAAAGAUGCUAGGACCAGGAAACCAGCUUUUGUAGGGGACUAAUUCCUGUGUAGCAACUUCCUCCUUCCUCCACUAGGGCUAGACAGCUUUAAUGGAGUCUGGACCUUACCAGAAGGAUGUAGACAACUGUUAAAAUUCUUUGACCCUCCAGAAGACAUAAUAUUUUCAUUCUACUAGCAUCUAUAGCCACUAGGAGACUGAGGACCUCAAUUCAACUUUCACUGGGGACCAUAAUGCAGAGCCUUCUUACAAUGUCCUGAAAAUGGAAAGUGACUAUAAUCAGAUCUGGUUUGGAGAGCAAUUCGGUUCGGAGUGGAGGGAGAUUCUGAAUUGGAGUUCAGGAGAUUCAGUGGAGGACUGGAGCUUGUUUGGAGAUGGUCUUGUGGUAAGUAAUAAGACUGACUUUUCUUCUUGGCUCAACCUGAGCCAGAGCAGUUUAAAUUAAUUCUCUCUCUCUCUCUCUCUCUCUCUCUCUCUCUCUCUCUCUCUCCCCUUCCCUUAAUUCCUUCUUUCUUUAUUAAUUAAAUCUCCAUAAAUCCCAGCUGACUUGGAUAUUUUUCAUAUUUGGGAAUUUCCCAUGGUGAC